This 76-nucleotide microRNA precursor is filed under the name Echinops telfairi (small Madagascar hedgehog). RNAcentral's name for it is "Ete-Let-7-P2b2_pre stem-loop". It matches the Rfam family "let-7 microRNA precursor family", at positions 7 to 78 of the family's 84-position model. Rfam says of the family: This family represents the microRNAs (miRNA) let-7 and mir-98. let-7 was identified from a study of developmental timing in C. elegans, and was later shown to be part of a much larger class of non-coding RNAs termed miRNAs. RNAcentral also lists the same sequence under 1 other name. Lineage: Eukaryota; Metazoa; Chordata; Mammalia; Afrosoricida; Tenrecidae. The record is from RNAcentral.
UGAGGUAGUAGGUUGUGUGGUUUCAGGGUAGUGAUGUUGCCCCCUCGGAAGAUAACUAUACAACCUACUGCCUUCC